GAUGAACGCUGGCGGCGUGCCUAACACAUGCAAGUCGAGCGAUCUUCUUCGGAAGAGAGCGGCGGACGGGUGAGUAACGCGGGGGUAACCUGCCCUGUACACACGGAUAACAUACCGAAAGGUAUGCUAAUACGAGAUAAUAUGCUUUUAUCGCAUGGUAGAAGUAUCAAAGCUCCGGCGGUACAGGAUGGACCCGCGUCUGAUUAGCUAGUUGGUAAGGUAACGGCUUACCAAGGCGACGAUCAGUAGCCGACCUGAGAGGGUGAUCGGCCACAUUGGAACUGAGACACGGUCCAAACUCCUACGGGAGGCAGCAGUGGGGAAUAAUGCACAAUGGGCGAAAGCCUGAUGCAGCAACGCCGCGUGAGCGAUGAAGGCCUUCGGGUCGUAAAGCUCUGUCCUCAAGGAAGAUAAUGACGGUACUUGAGGAGGAAGCCCCGGCUAACUACGUGCCAGCCGCCGCAGUAA
This 468-nucleotide ribosomal RNA is filed under the name uncultured bacterium. RNAcentral's name for it is "partial 16S ribosomal RNA". It matches the Rfam family "Bacterial small subunit ribosomal RNA", at positions 28 to 523 of the family's 1533-position model. The record is from RNAcentral.